RNAcentral lists this small nucleolar RNA (82 nucleotides) under Amphiprion ocellaris (clown anemonefish). RNAcentral's name for it is "Small nucleolar RNA SNORD60 (ENSAOCG00000010866.2)". It matches the Rfam family "Small nucleolar RNA SNORD60". Rfam says of the family: U60 belongs to the C/D class of snoRNA which contain the C (UGAUGA) and D (CUGA) box motifs. The record is from Rfam by way of RNAcentral. Lineage: Eukaryota; Metazoa; Chordata; Actinopteri; Pomacentridae. RNAcentral also lists the same sequence under 1 other name.
AGCCACUGAUGACAAACUAAAUAACUUUUCUGACACCUCGUAUGAGAGCAAAGCUCCUGAUUCUAACGCUACUCUGAGGCUC